This 465-nucleotide ribosomal RNA is filed under the name Vreelandella stevensii. RNAcentral describes it as "partial 16S ribosomal RNA". It matches the Rfam family "Bacterial small subunit ribosomal RNA", at positions 338 to 795 of the family's 1533-position model. The record is from RNAcentral. Lineage: Bacteria; Pseudomonadati; Pseudomonadota; Gammaproteobacteria; Oceanospirillales; Halomonadaceae.
CCUACGGGGGGCUGCAGUGGGGAAUAUUGGACAAUGGGGGGAACCCUGAUCCAGCCAUGCCGCGUGUGUGAAGAAGGCCCUCGGGUUGUAAAGCACUUUCAGUGAGGAAGAACGCCUGGUGGUUAAUACCCAUCAGGAAAGACAUCACUCACAGAAGAAGCACCGGCUAACUCCGUGCCAGCAGCCGCGGUAAUACGGAGGGUGCGAGCGUUAAUCAGAAUUACUGGGCGUAAAGCGCGCGUAGGUGGCUUGAUAAGCCGGUUGUGAAAGCCCCGGGCUCAACCUGGGAACGGCAUCCGGAACUGUCAAGCUAGAGUGCAGGAGAGGAAGGUAGAAUUCCCGGUGUAGCGGUGAAAUGCGUAGAGAUCGGGAGGAAUACCAGUGGCGAAGGCGGCCUUCUGGACUGACACUGACACUGAGGUGCGAAAGCGUGGGUAGCAAACAGGAUUAGAUACCCCAGUAGUC